RNAcentral lists this ribosomal RNA (772 nucleotides) under uncultured bacterium. Its description in RNAcentral is "bacterial SSU rRNA". It matches the Rfam family "Bacterial small subunit ribosomal RNA", at positions 8 to 796 of the family's 1533-position model. The record is from RNAcentral.
AGAGUUUGAUCAUGGCUCAGGACGAACGCUGGCGGCGCGCCUAAAACAUGCAAGUCGAACGAGAAGCCCGGGCUUGCCCGGGUGGACAGUGGCGAACGGGUGAGUAACACGUGAGGAACCUGCCCCGAAGACCGGGACAACACCGGGAAACCGGUGCUAAUACCGGAUACCUUCACCGGAUCGCAUGGUCUGGUGAAGAAAUGGAUUCCGCUUCGGGAUGGCCUCGCGGCCUAUCAGCUCGUUGGUGAGGUAAUGGCUCACCAAGGCGACGACGGGUAGCUGGUCUGAGAGGAUGUCCAGCCACACUGGGACUGAGACACGGCCCAGACUCCUACGGGAGGCAGCAGUUAGGAAUCUUGCGCAAUGGACGAAAGUCUGACGCAGCGACGCCGCGUGCGGGAUGAAGGCCCUCGGGUUGUAAACCGCUUUCAGCAGGGACGAAAUUGACGGUACCUGCAGAAGAAGCCCCGGCCAACUACGUGCCAGCAGCCGCGGUAAUACGUAGGGGGCAAGCGUUGUCCGGAUUUAUUGGGCGUAAAGAGCUCGUAGGUGGUUCGGUAAGUCGGAUGUGAAAUCUCCAGGCUCAACCUGGAGGGGUCAUUCGAUACUGCCGUGACUAGAGGUCGGUAGGGGAGUGUGGAAUUCCUGGUGGAGCGGUGAAAUGCGCAGAUAUCAGGAGGAACACCCGUAGCGAAGGCGGCACCCUGGGCCGAUACUGACACUGAGGAGCGAAAGCGUGGGGAGCGAACAGGAUUAGAUACCCUAGUAGUCC